AGGUUCUCAGGCUCAUCUGGCUCAACUGCGCUUUCUCCAGCGAUAACUCAGGAGCCCCAUUCAACCCGCGGAGUGGCAGGUAUAGGGUGUCACCCCUCAGAGCCCUGAGGAUGAGGGUGAGCGUCCAGGCAGCAGCCAAGCCCCCAAGGCUGGCCCACUGACACCGUGUGUUUUUCUAACAGCUUUCUUUGUUGACUUUAGUUCAUCAUUACAACGGCCACAUGAGCAAGUCUUUAUCGGGAACCGUAUCUUUGCUCUGUCACCUGCAAAAGGACUUGAGAACAAUGAAAACUACCUCUGCAGGAUAUUGAUUCUGAUGGAACAAAAUGUUGAUUAAGCAGAACAGUGACUUUUUUUUAACUGGAGGAGCUCCAGAUCUUUCCUUAGUCCCGUCUCUCCAGGGAAAUGAGCUUUAGCCUCAACAAUCUGCAGAAAACUCGAGUCAGAGGGAAGAUUUAUGAUGGGACGUGAUGGGCGGAAGACAGCUAUCUGGUAGGCCAUCUCGAAGCUCAUCUUUGUGUUAUUAGAGAAACACUCUCUCUCUUGACAGGAUAUAGUCUGGUUAUCACACCAUCGUCUCAAGUUUCAUUCCCCUUCUGCUUACAAAUGCCCCAAAUAUACAGAGAUGCAUUUCACGAAGACAGCCUUUUGAGAGGCAGUUUAUCCCAGCUGUUGCAGUCGAUCUUAAACACCUACCUUUUCACGCUGGUGUGGAGUUUACAUGUCGAUAAGCGUUAUAAAAAACGGGGGUGGGGGGCAGGGCGACGUUGGAAAUCUCAGCAAGGGUAAAGCACCAAGGCUGCCUGUGGGAAUUGAAGUCAGAAAAAAGAAAGAGCGCAGAAAGCUUGAUGUUCCAGUAAUGACACCCCCCCACCCCCCCUCCCGCGCCCUGGCCCACAGGAGACCCGCACUGCCUGGGGGCUGGGGGCUGACCCCAAACACCAGGGGCUGUAAACACUUUUCUAGUCACAUAAACAGGAUGGAUUCCUUGCCUGCCACUUAGGUGUUUUCCUGUUAAGGGCCGGUGGCAAAACAGAAGUGAUUAGAUGUAGGUAGAAAGCAGGAGAACCAGACGUGGAAGGUCUCAGGCUUCCCUCAGGAACUCUCUGUCCAGGCGUUGUGCACGUCCUACAGUGAUAAAUCCUCAGCGCCUGAUGUUGCCGCUAUCAUUUGCGCUCCCAGUUGGCCCAGUGGGAUUUGUUGGUCAAUGACCCGUGAGCUUUCUCUCACUCCUGGGUCUGUACGCAUAGAGAGCAGAAAGCUCUUGGGGAGCUGCUGAGAUUAAGUCCCUGAAGACUUUCAAAGUGGGGGGUUGGGGAGUUAGAAUUGAGUGUUAAAUGGGGAAAAUGGGAGUUCCCACUCUAGGACAGCAGAAAGGAAUCUGACUAGUAUCCAUGAGGAUGAGGUUUCGAUUCCUGGCCUUGCUCAGUGGGUUAAAGAUCCGGUGUUGCCCUGACCUGUGAUGCAGGUCCCAGAUGCUGCUGGGAUCCGGUGUUGCUGUGGCUGUGAUGUAGGCAGGCAGCUGUAGCUCUGAUUCAACCCCUUACCUUGGAACUUCCAGGUGGCACGGGUGUGGCCCUAAAAAGCAAAAGAAACAAACAAACAAAUAAGGAAAACAGGAGACUUGGGUCCAGAGCCUUGCCAGGGUCCCAUUUUAGCAGAGGGGGGCGGGGUGGGGGGGUUGUUGGAGAGGAAAUAAACCUGGGACUCCAAGCCCACAGGAUGAACGGUCGUGUUUGAAGUUGGGACUGGUGAGCUCAGGAAGCUGGCUGCAUCGGGUUCCCAUUAGCUCAGGCAGCGGCACAGUGGGUUCACACCAUCGACAUGGUAACAAUUAAGCCUUCUGCUACUGGUCCUUCCCUGGGGGUGAGGCUCUUUUGUUCCUCACCCAUGUGACUGCAAGUCGCCCUGGUUUCCUUAUGGCUCGAUUUCCUGCAGAUUCCCAUUACUUAGCAUCUAAUCUUCUGAGACCUCUUAUUAGACCACACAAAUGGCAGCAAUUGUCUCCAGCACAUAGACCCUGUCCCAGACCUGCAAUGCGCCUAGGAGAAAUGCUGUGUCUCUCUGAAAUGUGAGAGUUACUUGCAAUGUAAAUAGUCAGAUUACCAAAAAUCAGAGUUCAUUCAAUAUUAAGGGAAAAUAAAUUAAUUAUACAUG
This 2157-nucleotide long non-coding RNA is filed under the name Sus scrofa (pig). RNAcentral describes it as "lncRNA (ENSSSCG00000050145.2, ENSSSCG00105001404.1, ENSSSCG00130002036.1)". The record is from RNAcentral. Lineage: Eukaryota; Metazoa; Chordata; Mammalia; Artiodactyla; Suidae.